GCGAGAAUAGCUCAGUCGGCAGAGCAUCAGCUUCCCAAGCUGAGGGUCGCGGGUUCGAAUCCCGUUUCUCGCU
Molecule: transfer RNA, 73 nt
Filed under: Bacteroidales bacterium
Lineage: Bacteria; Pseudomonadati; Bacteroidota; Bacteroidia; Bacteroidales
Also listed under: 2 other names
Description: tRNA-Gly
Rfam family: tRNA
About the family: Transfer RNA (tRNA) molecules are approximately 80 nucleotides in length.
Source: RNAcentral